Molecule: ribosomal RNA, 751 nt
Filed under: Rhizobium sp. UFLA4-69
Lineage: Bacteria; Pseudomonadati; Pseudomonadota; Alphaproteobacteria; Hyphomicrobiales; Rhizobiaceae
Description: bacterial SSU rRNA
Rfam family: Bacterial small subunit ribosomal RNA
Source: RNAcentral
UACCCAUCCCUACGGAACAACUCCGGGAAACUGGAGCUAAUACCGUAUACGCCCUUCGGGGGAAAGAUUUAUCGGGGAUGGAUGAGCCCGCGUUGGAUUAACUAGUUGGUGGGGUAAAGGCCUACCAAGGCGACGAUCCAUAGCUGGUCUGAGAGGAUGAUCAGCCACAUUGGGACUGAGACACGGCCCACACUCCUACUGGAGGCAGCAGUGGGGAAUAUUGGACAAUGGGCGCAAGCCUGAUCCAGCCAUGCCGCGUGAGUGAUGAAGGUCUUAGGAUUGUAAAGCUCUUUCACCGGAGAAGAUAAUGACGGUAUCCGGAGAAGAAGCCCCGGCUAACUUCGUGCCAGCAGCCGCGGUAAUACUAAGGGGGCUAGCGUUGUUCGGAAUUACUGGGCGUAAAGCGCACGUAGGCGGAUAUUUAAGUCAGGGGUGAAAUCCCAGAGCUCAACUCUGGAACUGCCUUUGAUACUGGGUAUCUUGAGUAUGGAAGAGGUAAGUGGAAUUGCGAGUGUAGAGGUGAAAUUCGUAGAUAUUCGCAGGAACACCAGUGGCGAAGGCGGCUUACUGGUCCAUUACUGACGCUGAGGUGCGAAAGCGUGGGGAGCAAACAGGAUUAGAUACCCUGGUAGUCCACGCCGUACACGAUGAAUGUUAGCCGUCGGCAAGUUUACUUGUCGGUGGCGCAGCUAACGCAUUAAACAUUCCGCCUGGGGAGUACGGUCGCAAGAUUAAAACUCAAAGGAAUUGA